This 460-nucleotide ribosomal RNA is filed under the name uncultured bacterium. RNAcentral's name for it is "partial 16S ribosomal RNA". It matches the Rfam family "Bacterial small subunit ribosomal RNA", at positions 338 to 795 of the family's 1533-position model. The record is from RNAcentral.
CCUACGGGUGGCAGCAGUGAGGAAUAUUGGUCAAUGGGCGCGAGCCUGAACCAGCCAAGUAGCGUGAAGGAUGACUGCCCUACGGGUUGUAAACUUCUUUUAUAAAGGAAUAAAGUGCGGCACGUGUGCCUUUUUGUAUGUACUUUAUGAAUAAGGAUCGGCUAACUCCGUGCCAGCAGCCGCGGUAAUACGGAGGUUCCGAGCGUUAUCCGGAUUUAUUGGGUUUAAAGGGAGCGGAGGUGGGGUGUUAAGUCAGUUGUGAAAGUUUGCGGCUCAACCGUAAAAGUGCAAUUGAUACUGGCAGUCUUGAGUACAGUUGAGGUAGGCGGAAUUCGUGGUGUAGCGGUGAAAUGCGUAGAUAUCACGAAGAACUCGGAUUGCGAAGGCAGCUUACUAAACUGCCACUGACGUUGAUGCUCGAAAGUGUGGGUAGCAAACAGGAUUAGAUACCCGGGUAGUC